Molecule: ribosomal RNA, 251 nt
Filed under: uncultured prokaryote
Description: partial 16S ribosomal RNA
Rfam family: Bacterial small subunit ribosomal RNA
Source: RNAcentral
ACGGAGGGCGCAAGCGUUAAUCGGAAUUACUGGGCGUAAAGCGUGCGUAGGCUGUUUGGUAAGUCAGGCGUGAAAGCCCUCGGCUCAACCGGGGAACUGCGCUUGAUACUGCCGGACUCGAGUCCCGGAGAGGGUGGCGGAAUUCCAGGUGUAGGAGUGAAAUCCGUAGAUAUCUGGAGGAACACCGGUGGCGAAGGCGGCCACCUGGACGGGUACUGACGCUGAGGCACGAAAGCGUGGGGAGCAAACAG